RNAcentral lists this ribosomal RNA (468 nucleotides) under uncultured bacterium. Its description in RNAcentral is "partial 16S ribosomal RNA". It matches the Rfam family "Bacterial small subunit ribosomal RNA", at positions 28 to 507 of the family's 1533-position model. The record is from RNAcentral.
GACGAACGCUGGCGGCGUGCUUAACACAUGCAAGUCGAACGGAAAGGCCCUGCUUUUGUUGGUUUCUCGAGUGGCGAACGGGUGAGUAACACGUGAGUAACCUGCCCUUGACUUUGGGAUAACUUCAGGAAACUGGGGCUAAUACCGGAUAGGAUCUCCUGCUGCAUGGUGGGGGUUGGAAAGUUUCGGCGGUUGUGGAUGGACUCGCGGCUUAUCAGCUUGUUGGUGGGGUAGUGGCUUACCAAGGCUUUGACGGGUAGCCGGCCUGAGAGGGUGACCGGCGACAUGGGGACUGAGAGACGGACCAGAAGCCAACGGGAGGCAGCAGGGGGGAAUAUUGCAGAAUGGGCGGGAGCCUGAUGCAGAAACGCCGCGUGCGGGAUGACGGCCUUCGGGUUGUAAACCGAUUUCGAAGGUGACGAAGAGUGAGUGACGGUAAUGGGUAAAGAAGCAACGGCUAACUACGUG